This is a non-coding RNA of Ailuropoda melanoleuca (giant panda), 45 nucleotides long. Lineage: Eukaryota; Metazoa; Chordata; Mammalia; Carnivora; Ursidae. The record is from Rfam.
CAAAAGGCUCUUUUCAGAGCCACUACUACAGUCAUAAAAAGGUGA